GUUUUUACCUUAAAGUUUUUAUGGAUUAAAUUUUUAUGUAUUAUUUAAGGACCUCAAUCUUUAAUUUCGUAUUGGAUCACAGAAAUUUCGGAACCGGCACUGUGCGACCCAUCUGAUCUUUUGGAUUAGACACGACAAAUCCCAUCUAAUCCAUUCUUCACCUCCAGCUUCUCAUCCAUAUUUUUACACUGUUACCCAAUUACUUUAUGAUCUCACUAAAUAUAUAACGUUUUGGAUAUAUAACAUAAGCUUUUCUUCAAGUCACACUUCAUCUCUGCCGAGACCUCCAUUCCCAUCAAGAUUAACAUCUGAAAAUGGAGAUCACGAACGUUACUGAGUAUGAAGCGAUCGCGAAGGAGAAGCUGCCUAAGAUGGUAUACGACUACUUUGCUUCUGGUGCGGAGGACGAAUGGACUCUUCAAGAGAACAGAAACUCUUUUGCAAGGAUCCUCUUUCGGCCUCGGAUUCUGAUUGAUGUGAGCAAGAUUGAUAUGACAACAACCAUCUUGGGUUUCAAGAUCUCCAUGCCUAUCAUGGUUGCUCCUACCGCCAUGCAAAAGAUGGCUCACCCAGAAGGGGAAUAUGCUACGGCUAGAGCUGCAUCUGCUGCUGGUACCAUCAUGAUACUAUCUUCAUGGACUACUUCGAGCGUUGAAGAAGUUGCUUCCACAGGACCAGGGAUCCAGUUUUUCCAGAUCCGGUUUUUCCAGUUACAAGUAUACAAGAACAGGAAAGUGGUUGAGCAGCUGGUGAGAAGAGCUGAGAGGGCAGGGUUCAAAGCCAUUGUGCUCACUGGAGACGCCCCAAGGUUAGGUCGCAGAGAGUCUGAUAUUAAGAACAGAUUCACUUUGCCUCCAAACCUUGCAUUGAAAAACUUCGAAGGUCUUGACCAUGGAAAGAUAGACGAGGCCAAUGACUCUGGCUUAGCUUCUUAUGCUGGUGGUCAAAUUGACCGUACCUUGAGCUGGAAGGAUGUUCAGUGGCUCCAGACAAUCACCAACAUGCCGAUUCUUGUUAAGGGUGUUCUCACAGGAGAAGACGCAAGGAUAGCGAUUCAGGCUGGAGCAGCAGGGAUCAUUGUAUCAAACCCUGUUCGUUUGGUUACCGGUCAGCGGCAGCGUUUGCAUCGGCGGCGGCAGCAGCGCCAAUGAAGACAGUUGUUGUACGUUUUGCAAACACUAACGCUGACGUUGCCGCUGACGCUGCCAAAGAUUAUUGUUCGUUUAGAAGACGCAGGAAGUUGAGGUCGACGCCGACGCUGCCACAUGAAGCAAAUUUUUGUAAAUAAUUAAUUAGGUUAAGGGUAAAAUAGUAAAUUACAUUAUUGGCCGCAGGUUUUAUGCCGCAAACGCAGUUUUUAUCGGCGUCAACCGUUCGGACGCGGCGUCUUCCUGCGUCAACGAAACGAACAAGAGUUGACGCAGAAUGUUGACGCUGCCGCCGAUACCUGUGGCAACCAAACGAACAGCCCUCAUGUCCCAGCAACAAUCUCAGCCCUUGAAGAGGUUGUCAAGGCGACACAAGGACGUAUCCCUGUGUUCUUGGAUGGUGGUGUUCGCCGUGGCACUGAUGUUUUCAAGGCACUUGCUCUUGGAGCCUCCGGGAUAUUUAUUGGAAGACCAGUGGUAUUCUCACUUGCAGCUGAAGGAGAAGCUGGAGUCAGAAAAGUGCUUCAGAUGCUACGUGAUGAGUUCGAGCUGACAAUGGCACUGAGUGGCUGCAGGUCUCUCAAGGAAAUCACCCGUAACCACAUCACCACCGAGUGGGACACUCCACGCCCUCCACACCCUUCGGCCAGGUUAUAGAGAGACCAAAACAACCAGAGAACAUGUAAUGUGAUGGCUACACUUUGCUACUUUGCUACCCUAUCUAAAGACUUGUUUCUCCCUAUGUCGAAUCGCAAACUAUGCCUAGUGAUUCUUGUAAUAUUAUUUGGCUACUUCUACCUA
This is an RNA transcript of Brassica napus (rape), 1949 nucleotides long. It is a transcript of the gene named glycolate oxidase 2-like, with no coding region annotated. Lineage: Eukaryota; Viridiplantae; Streptophyta; Magnoliopsida; Brassicales; Brassicaceae. The transcript has 12 exons. The record is from RefSeq and is a predicted model, not a curated record.